AACUUUAGAUUUCAAUCUGAGAGUGUAACCUGAUGUAAAAUGGGGUUCAUUUGAUAUUCUUCAAAUAGGUUUCUUGUAAUAGUAGGACAGAAACUUUUGCUACGAAAUGAAUUCUCUUGCCCUUUUAUAAAGUGAAUAGAUCUUUUAUGUGUAAGAAAAUGAAAAUCUCUCAUAGAAAAGACUAAUAAGGGGCAGCUCGGUGCACUAAAGCUCCCAGUAUGUAUGGAGUUCAGGGAAGGGCCAAAUCAUAAGGGUUUAUUGUACGGAGUCUUACAUUACAUUUCUGUAAGAGGUUAUUUCCACGACUUGAACCUGUGACUUCCAGAUCACAUGGAAGCAACUUUACUAGUUGCUCCAAGAUUCCCCUUCGAAAAAAAGAUGUCGCAAUAAUCUUUGUGUGUUGUUUAGGGUUGGUGUUUCAGAGUAACCUGAUGGAAAAAGUUGUGGCGGAUUUCUUUUACUAUGCCUCGUUAAAACUUCAGGGAUAUAAAUAUAUAUACAUUGUUAUUGGGUGAAUCUCUUGAAAUGUUCGUGAUAGAUGGUUCAGUAAAUGAUGUUACAUAAUGAAUUCAUUAAGUAGUAUUGAAUUUAAGGUGUUUUGUUUUCAGGGAUGUAUAGUAACUUUAGCUUAGAUCAUGUAUUCAUGUUAAGAAAUCCACUUAAUAUGUAUAAAGAAUUACUUGGUACAUUGUUAUUGCGUGGUAAGGUUUGCGUACAUUCUACCCUCUCCGGACAUCACUUACGGAAUUUCACUGGUUAAUUUUUUGUUGUUGUAUUGUGAUUGAGUGAACCUAUAGAAAUGUUAUAGAUGGUUCAGUAAAUGAUGUAACACAAUGAACUCUCUAAGUAGUAAUGAAUGUUAAUAGUGUUUACUUUGCAGCUGAGUUGCGUGGACUCUUCACUUUUUAUGUCGUACUUGUGUCGGUCGAAUUCUCCAAAAAUACACAACUCUUGGUGAUUCCGACACGCACCCUACUGACAUUUUUGAAGAGUCUGAGGCUUUGCAGGGACAGAUUGUAACUUUAGCUUAGAUCCUGUAUUCGUGUUAGAGUUCACUUAAUCAUAUAUAAAAAGUUAUUUUGACACAUUGUUAUUGGGUGAACCUGUUGAAAUGUUCACAUGGUUCAGUGAAUGAUGUUACACAAUGUACUCUUUAAGCAGUAUUGAAUGUGACCUGUGUUUUAUUUGCAGGGUCUCAGACCCUAUAUUUGUGUUAAGAAAUUCACUUUAUACGUAUAUAAAUUUAUCACAAACCUAGUAAGUAAUAACGGGUAAUGGGGUCUAAGGAACGCCAUAAACUUAGAAUUGUGGAUACCCUUCUGUUUGUUCGAUAUACUAAAUGGAUAUACUACUUGUUUGUAUGUUGUUCACUAGGCUUCUGUUUGUUCGAUAUACUAAAUGGAAAUACUUGUUUGUAUGUUGCUCACUAUGUUUGUUCGAUAUACUAAAUGGAUAUACUUGUUUGUAUGUUGCUCACUAGGCUUCUGUUUGUUCAAUAUGCUAAAUGGAUAUACUUGUUUUAUGCUGUUCACUAGGCUUCUGUUUGUCUGAAACUAAAUGGAAAUACUUGUAUGUUGUACAAUAAGCUUAUAUUUGUUUGAAACUAAAUGGCAAUACUUGUAUGUUGUUUAGGUGAUGUAGUCGUAGUCCCUGAUGCAGUAAAGCAAAAAAAAGAAUAUGACUACAUUAAUUCACAGCCUGAGAUCGGUUGAUUGAAGUUCACCACAAGUUUGAGCUUAAUCCAGAAACUCUUUACCUAACAAUAAACAUUGUUGAUCGCUACCUCACUGUGGAGACUGCAUCAAGGGGGGAACUGCAGUUGGUGGGCAAUUAGUGUCAUGCUUAUAUAGCCUCUAAAUAUGAAGAAAUUUGGGCUCCCGAGGUCAAUGACUUCGUGUGCAUCUCAGACAAAACUUACAGUCACGAGCAGGUGUUAACUGUGGAGAAACAAAUUCUCGGGCAACUAGAAUGGUAUCUGACAGUCCCAACACCCUACGUGUUCCUCGUCCGUUUCAUCAAAGCUUCUUUACCUAAUUCAAAAAUGGAGAACAUGGCGUAUUUUCUGGCUGAGCUGAGGUUGAUGAGUUAUGAAACCAUUAUCUACUGCCCAUCGAUGAUUGCUACCUCUAUUAAAU
Molecule: long non-coding RNA, 2135 nt
Organism: Capsicum annuum
Lineage: Eukaryota; Viridiplantae; Streptophyta; Magnoliopsida; Solanales; Solanaceae
Exons: 3
Source: RefSeq, a predicted model, not a curated record